RNAcentral lists this ribosomal RNA (636 nucleotides) under Leifsonia sp. Ri1Ps_4774. RNAcentral describes it as "bacterial SSU rRNA". It matches the Rfam family "Bacterial small subunit ribosomal RNA", at positions 378 to 1027 of the family's 1533-position model. Lineage: Bacteria; Bacillati; Actinomycetota; Actinomycetes; Micrococcales; Microbacteriaceae. The record is from RNAcentral.
GCAGCCUGAUGCAGCAACGCCGCGUGAGGGACGACGGCCUUCGGGUUGUAAACCUCUUUUAGUAGGGAAGAAGCGAAAGUGACGGUACCUGCAGAAAAAGCACCGGCUAACUACGUGCCAGCAGCCGCGGUAAUACGUAGGGUGCGAGCGUUGUCCGGAAUUAUUGGGCGUAAAGAGCUCGUAGGCGGUCUGUCGCGUCUGCUGUGAAAACCCGAGGCUCAACCUCGGGCCUGCAGUGGGUACGGGCAGACUAGAGUGCGGUAGGGGAGAAUGGAAUUCCUGGUGUAGCGGUGGAAUGCGCAGAUAUCAGGAGGAACACCGAUGGCGAAGGCAGUUCUCUGGGCCGUAACUGACGCUGAGGAGCGAAAGCGUGGGGAGCGAACAGGAUUAGAUACCCUGGUAGUCCACGCCGUAAACGUUGGGCGCUAGAUGUGGGGACCAUUCCACGGUUUCCGUGUCGCAGCUAACGCAUUAAGCGCCCCGCCUGGGGAGUACGGCCGCAAGGCUAAAACUCAAAGGAAUUGACGGGGGCCCGCACAAGCGGCGGAGCAUGCGGAUUAAUUCGAUGCAACGCGAAGAACCUUACCAAGGCUUGACAUAUACGAGAACGGGCCAGAAAUGGUCAACUCUUUGGAC